GGGGAUGUAGCUCAGGUGGUAGAGUGCUUUUGCCUCACAUGCACAAGGCCCUGGGUUCAAUCCCCAGCACCACAA
Ictidomys tridecemlineatus (thirteen-lined ground squirrel) is the source of this 75-nucleotide non-coding RNA. Lineage: Eukaryota; Metazoa; Chordata; Mammalia; Rodentia; Sciuridae. The record is from Rfam.